UAUGAUGAUCAAGAGGCUGUCCUUUG
Molecule: non-coding RNA, 26 nt
Filed under: Homo sapiens (human)
Lineage: Eukaryota; Metazoa; Chordata; Mammalia; Primates; Hominidae
Source: RNAcentral